RNAcentral lists this ribosomal RNA (291 nucleotides) under Halobacteriales archaeon QS_4_69_225. Its description in RNAcentral is "partial 16S ribosomal RNA". It matches the Rfam family "Archaeal small subunit ribosomal RNA", at positions 1 to 298 of the family's 1478-position model. The record is from RNAcentral. Lineage: Archaea; Methanobacteriati; Methanobacteriota; Halobacteria; Halobacteriales.
AUUCCGGUUGAUCCUGCCGGAGGCCAUUGCUAUCGGUGUCCGAUUUAGCCAUGCGAGUUGUACGUUUACCGUAGCGAACUGCUCAGUAACACGUGGCCAAACUGCCCUAUGGAUCGGGAUACCCUCGGGAAACUGAGGCUAAUCCCGGAUAACGCAUCCAGCCUGGAGUGGCGGAUGUGUGAAACGCUCCGGCGCCAUAGGAUGUGGCUGCGGCCGAUUAGGUAGACGGUGGGGUAACGGCCCACCGUGCCGAUAAUCGGUACGGGUCAUGAGAGUGAGAGCCCGGAGACG